Molecule: unclassified non-coding RNA, 752 nt
Filed under: Hevea brasiliensis (rubber tree)
Lineage: Eukaryota; Viridiplantae; Streptophyta; Magnoliopsida; Malpighiales; Euphorbiaceae
Source: RNAcentral
UUUUUAAUCAGGCAGGACCUGGAAGGGGAGUGACUCCAAACAUGUCUGGUCCCGGUUUUAAUGGUGCUGGACCAAUAGGAAGAGGUGCUCCUCCUGAUAAGAGUACAGGGGGUUGGGUUCCUCCUAGAAAUAAUGGACCUCUUGGUAAAGCCCCUUCAAGGGGAGAGCAGAAUGAUUACUCCCAGAAUUUUGUAGAUACUGGUAUGCGACCCCAGAAUUUUAUUAGAGAGUUGGAGCUUACCAAUGUUGUAGAGGAUUACCCCAAACUCAGGGAGCUUAUACAGAAAAAGGAUGAGAUUGUGGCUAAAUCUGCCUCUGCGCCUAUGUAUUUGAAAUGUGACCUGCAUGAGUUUGACUUCUCUCCUGAAUUUUUUGGGACCAAGUUUGAUGUAAUCCUGGUGGACCCCCCUUGGGAAGAAUAUGUUCAUCGGGCUCCUGGUGUAGCUGACCAUAUGGAGUAUUGGACAUUUGAAGAAAUAUUAAAUCUCAAGAUUGAGGCAAUAGCUGAUACACCUUCUUUUAUCUUCCUCUGGGUGGGUGAUGGCGUGGGACUUGAGCAAGGUCGUCAAUGUUUAAAGAAGUGGGGANNNNGAGAUGUGAGGAUAUUUGUUGGGUGAAGACCAACAAAAGUAAUGCAACUCCAGGGUUGCGGCAUGAUUCUCACACACUGUUUCAGCACUCAAAGGAACACUGCUUGAUGGGUAUAAAGGGAACAGUUCGUCGCAGCACUGAUGGUCAUAUAAUCCAUGCAA